RNAcentral lists this long non-coding RNA (859 nucleotides) under Dermacentor andersoni. Its description in RNAcentral is "uncharacterized LOC126545030". The record is from RNAcentral. Lineage: Eukaryota; Metazoa; Arthropoda; Arachnida; Ixodida; Ixodidae.
AAAACCAGGGUACUAUUACGAUAAUACUACUGAUAGAUGUGUGCUACGUAAUAAAACUACGACGUGUGACUUGCAACGUCAUUUAUUCCCAUCUGAAGAAGAGUGCAACUGGGAAUGCCGAACAGAUACAAUCUGCAAGCUUCCGUUAGAUGAAGGAAGGGAGUGUCGAAAAACUGAAGAGUUGAUGUAUUACUUCAAUUACACUAAGCAAGAGUGUGACCUUUUCUUUUACAAAGGUUGCGAAGGCAAUGCAAACAGAUUUGGUUCCGUGCGAGAGUGCGAGGUGAUAUGCAGAGGCUCCCGGUGUGCCCUUCCGAUCAAAGACAACGAUGGUAUUUGCAAUCCUAGACGAAUAACGUACCACUUCCAAGGUCAAGAUGGCAAGAGUUCCUGCGUGAAAAAAGCCAACGGAUGUGACCGGAAUGCUCAGAACUUCAAAAAGGAAACCGAUUGUCGCCGCGUGUGCAUUUUAAGACCAUAGCCUCUCUCAAGUACAUGAAGACUGUAUCAACAAGACAACUUACUAGGACACUACGAGAAAACUCCGCGAAGCAACUUUUUGCAAACGCCAACAAAACAAUCUGUCCAAUCAAGUAACAAGUAUCCGAGGAACUAACGAUGAACUAUUUAUUUUACUGCAUUUGGCGAUGUUACUCAUUGCUGGAGCAGGAAACAUCUUGCACUAGAGAAAUAUUACUGUAGAUAAUGUAGAUGACUGGCGAUUUUUUUCGAAUGUUAUUUAAUGAAUUGAUGUGGGUGUCGAAUGCGUCUGACAGAUAAUGUCGCUAAUACUACCCGCAAAGACGUAGCAUGACCGGCUCAGCAGCGCAAGGCAUUUUUAAGAGGUGCAUGGGGCGAG